CAAUCAUCUGCUAUAUAAUAUUAAGUCUUGGCAACACUGACCAGACUUUUGCUCAUCGCAGUUUUGAUCUUGGUUGGCGACGGUGCGCCAUAUUGAAUUUAGUUGUUUCCUUGUAAAACGAAGACUCAUCAAUUCAACCAGGGGAACCGGAAAACCGUCACGGCUUUAUAUUACCGUCAGGAAUAUGGAUACCUGCGGCGCAGCUAAACCGGCCUGCAAUAAACAAACGUCUUCAUAAUCAACAUCUUGGCAAUCGUGGCCGUCAGCUGCUGAAUAUUCAUCGAACAGUUCGGAAGCGGUGAACGAAGGUAACGCCAUGAAUUGGACCACAGGAUGUACACGGAACAUACCGUUCUCCAACGGAUUCACGUCGAAAACAACAAAGAAGUUCAGGUGGAUUGAGAUAAUCCGUCGGAAAUCGUUGCGGGAUAACCUCGCCACAACGGGAAUCCAUUGGGGAUUC
Armigeres subalbatus is the source of this 463-nucleotide long non-coding RNA. RefSeq lists it as uncharacterized. The transcript has 3 exons. The record is from RefSeq and is a predicted model, not a curated record. Lineage: Eukaryota; Metazoa; Arthropoda; Insecta; Diptera; Culicidae.